GACGAACGCUGGCGGCGUGCCUAAUACAUGCAAGUAGAACGCUGAAGCUUGGUUCUUGCACCGAGCGGGUGAGUUGCGAACGGGUGAGUAACGCGUAGGUAACCUGCCUGGUAGCGGGGGAUAACUAUUGGAAACGAUAGCUAAUACCGCAUAACAGUAGAUAUCGCAUGAUAGCUACUUGAAAGGUGCAAAUGCACCACUACCAGAGGGACCUGCGUUGUAUUAGCUAGUUGGUGAGGUAACGGCUCACCAAGGCAAAGAUACAUAGCCGACCUUAGAGGGGUAACCGGCCACCCGGGAAUGAGACAAGGCCCAGUAGCCCUCGGGAGGCAGCCGUAGGGGAUCUUUGGCAAUGGAAGGAAAGCUGACCGAACAACGCCGCGUUGGUGGAGAAGGUUUUCGGAUCGGGAAGCUCCGUUGUAAGGGAAGAACGAGUGUGAGAGUGGAAAGUUCACACUGUGACGGUACCUAAACAGAAAGGGACGGCUAACUACGUG
RNAcentral lists this ribosomal RNA (497 nucleotides) under uncultured bacterium. Its description in RNAcentral is "partial 16S ribosomal RNA". It matches the Rfam family "Bacterial small subunit ribosomal RNA", at positions 28 to 507 of the family's 1533-position model. The record is from RNAcentral.